GGGGUGCUCGAGUGGCGAACGGGUGAGUAACACGUGAGUAACCUGCCCUUGACUUUGGGAUAACUUCAGGAAACUGGGGCUAAUACCGGAUAGGAGCUCCUGCUGCAUGGUGGGGGUUGGAAGGUUUCGGCGGUUGGGGAUGGACUCGCGGCUUAUCAGCUUGUUGGUGGGGUAGUGGCUUACCAAGGCUUUGACGGGUAGCCGGCCUGAGAGGGUGACCGGCCACAUUGAACUGAGACACGGUCCAG
This 248-nucleotide ribosomal RNA is filed under the name uncultured Actinomycetales bacterium. RNAcentral's name for it is "partial 16S ribosomal RNA". It matches the Rfam family "Bacterial small subunit ribosomal RNA", at positions 84 to 334 of the family's 1533-position model. The record is from RNAcentral. Lineage: Bacteria; Bacillati; Actinomycetota; Actinomycetes; Actinomycetales.